Long non-coding RNA from Alligator mississippiensis (American alligator), 3956 nucleotides. RefSeq lists it as uncharacterized. The transcript has 4 exons. The record is from RefSeq and is a predicted model, not a curated record. Lineage: Eukaryota; Metazoa; Chordata; Crocodylia; Alligatoridae.
GAUUUUUCUCCCUCUUGUUUUGUGGUUAACAGAAUUGCCUGUAGAGGUUCUAGUUCUAAUCACAAUUUUUAUAUUGUCUCACCUCUUUCUAGUGCUUAUGAAACUGGAACUUGCCCUCAGAACUUUCAGGCCUGAAGUAUUCUGGUUCCUCCAGUCCUGCAAGACAGAUCCCAUUGAAUAACACUGAGCUUCUGUUUAAAGGACACUUGACUACCUGCAAAAAAGCUACCCUUGGAGACAGGAUGUUCGUCUAGAAGGAUCACUGGUCUGAUCCAGCAGGUCCUGUUGUUAUAGUUGCCUUCAUUAUGAAUGAAGAUCUACAACUUCCCUAUUGAGCCAAGAUGGCCUCUGGGCCCCUGUGCCAACUACUUUGCAUACAGCUCUAUAGGGUCUACAGCUGCAUGUAGGGGAGGGGCCACACUUGGCAGCUGAGAUGCAGCCUCAGGGUCACCACUACCCACAGCCUGGACCCUGUGGAUACACCAGUUCUGCCAGAGGAGGACCUUGGACAGGAUUCUCCUCCUGGAUUGCCUGGUCACAGUGUUGGAGGACUGGCUGAUGGAUGCUCAGGCCUGGCAAACAGAGGAUGUGGGCUGCCAAGACAUGUGGCAGGUGGAGGACGUCGCCCAUGAGGACAUGCAGGACUAGCACAAGGAGGCAUGGGCCUGAGUGGACAGGGAGUUCCAGGCACACAUCCUGGCCCUGAAGCAUGAGCAGGUGGAGGCACUGCAGGAGCAGAAGGGCAUCUGGACCUGGGGAGUGCAGGCCAUGGACAAUGAUUGCCAGGUGCCAGACACCAUUCUGGCCUUGGUGGUCACCUUUGUGCUGCCUGCUGCCUGGUCCCAGACUCUAGCCCUGCCUGCCCCCUGGCAGCCAUUUGCCACCCAAUAGCAGGCUCCCACCUGGUCCUGGGAGUAGGUCCUGCACCACUUCCAGCAGCCAGGAGCCCUUGGCCCAGCUUCCAACCCAGGGCUGGUGCCACCCAUGCCCCCUGGGCCAGUAACUGCUGUGCCAGCUCCACAGCCUCAGUCCCCGCCAUGAGGUGCAGCCAGCCAUGACACCGCCACCAACCAGCAGUGCCAGCUCCUCCUCAGGGGGGCCCCCAGCCUGGUCUUUGCCCAUGGCACACUGACAUCUGAGGAUACCUCCUGGAGCCGUACACUAUCACCAACAGCCAUGACUGCAUGAAGCAACCAGCCACACCAGCCCCAGCCAUUUGGUAAGGCCUGCAUUGGGGUGAGGGCUUUCCACGCUCCUGCCCCUGCCAACAAUCCCCUCCUGGCCUGGCUGCACUCCCCUGGCCCCAGGUUCCACACCCCCACAGCAUUUAUGGAGUUGUGAGACAGUCCAAACUUUAUUGAGCAGUCUGUGCCCAUGCAGCUCAGUGGACAUAAACCUCUCACACACCAAAGAAUGUGGUGAUGUUGGCAGUGAUGUCCUCCUCAGCUACAGAAGUUAGGGACAUGUAGUGCAGCCUCAGGCAGCCCUCCAGGUGGCAACAGAGGUUGCAAGGGAGCCUGGGUUUGCCCCUGUGCUGUCAAAGCUCAGGGUCUCAUGCCAGGUGCUCAGGUGCACCCAGGGUCCCAUGGCCAUCAGCAGCAGCAGGGCAUAAUGGGUUGGGCACCCCUCAGGCCAUGCAAACAGCUCCUUGUACACUGCCUGGGGCACAUAUAGCAGGGGAAUGCUCGGGGCGCAGCAGUGGCCUGUGAGGGGGCUGGCUUCAGGGUGCCUCCCCAGAGAAGACCCCUGUGGGGAAGAUGGGGGUACGGCAGGCACUGUCCUGGGUUCCUCAAGCUGCUAGUGGAGUGUGCAGCCUGGGAGCUUAGUGGGAUGAUCAACUGCAGGCCUGAGGGCACUCCCCCCCAGUGACAUGUCACCAUGGGUGCUAGGCUGGGGUGGGGGCUCAGGCAGGCUGCCUAUGCUGCUGUACAUAGCAUGGUUGCAGCCUGGGUCCUGGGGCAUGAGAAUGUCUGUCAGUUGCCACAUAAAGGGCAUGGACUUACAGGCACACCCUGACCAACAGUUGUGGUCAGUGAUGGCAGUCCACUGUGCCCAUAAGACUUUAACCUCUAUGUGGCAUUGCUGCAUUGGCCACUUGUGCCCACACUACCACAUCUUGUCUGACAGCCCCUCAUAGAUGUAGGCGUUGGAGCACCCACCCUGCUUGAAUUGGUGCUGCACCUCCACUUCACCCCACAGCACCAGGAAGUCACCAGUCUCCUGCAGGAACCAUUUGGGGCCUUGGGUGGUGGGCAUGGGUGUGGGAAUGGGCAUCAGCAAUGAUGAGGCCAUUGUGGGUCCUGCAGUUGCUCUCCAGGCCUCUCUGUGGCUGUCCCUGUGCUGCUAGGCCUGGGCAGCUGCCUGUAGUGCCCAGUGCAAGGACCUGGCAUGGGACUGGCAGGUGCAUGGCUGAGGAAAUUCCCUGCAGCAUCUGCAAGCUCAAGGAAGGCUCCUGGGGGUGGGCUGCAGGCAGGUGGAUCUGGCCCCGGCAGCCAGAGGUUGCCUGCAGCUGGGCCUGAGGGCUGGCAGGCCUGGCUGGAGUUGUGGGCCUGAUGGUGUGGGUUUGGCAGCUGUGCAGUACUGCAAUACCAGGCAGCAGUGCCAGGGUGCAGGCAGGCUGGAGAGGCUAGCCUGCAGCCUGCUAAUCGGACGUGGUCUGGAGUGCCCUUAGGCUGCCUGCUGGUGUGCCCCAGGGCUCAAAAUGCCUGCAGGCUUUUAAAGGCCUGAGGCAGGGGCUGCCAUAGAGGUAGCCCAGCCCUGGGGUAGGAGAGGCUCACAGCCCAGAACCCUGGGGCUAGCGUAAGGCUGGUCCCCUAGUGGUAGGGCUGACCUUGGAAUAGAUUUGCUCCCAGGUCAUGUCUACAUGUGCGUUACUGUGCAGUAACUAAUCAUGACUAAAUUUGAUACCUGCAUUUGCAUUUACUCAUGAUUAGGGUAAUUUUACUGUGCAGUAAGUGUGCACACAUGUAGAUACAUGUGCUUACUGUGCAGUAAACUAUUGCACAGUUAAGUGUCUCAUGUAGACAUGCCCACUAUUAUGUAACACAGACCUAAAGUAACAUUCUGCAUUAAUUAGAAUAGCUGAGAGUUUCUUUAUUUUGUGGUGGCUGCUUCAGUCCCUGCAGGAGCUCAGUAUUUAGAGGGCAUACAGUAACAGCCCCCCUUUCCCUUCUCUGCUCCUUUAUUUAUGCUUUCUAUUCUAUUUCUUCUGGAGAGGCAGCUAGGGAUUAUAUCCUACAUUAUAUAAAGCAUAUCUUUCAAACAGAAGGAAUUUCAAAAUUGAAGAAAAGCUCUUUUUUUAAAAGUUCAUCCACUGAAACUGGUUGACUUCCACAAUUUAUUUUAUUAUUGCUGUUUCUCCCUAAAUUGAUGUGCUAUUUCACUUGUUAGCAGUAGACAAUAUCUCUCUCUAGCGAAAGUAGUUACACAGAGAAGGAUCCUUUUGAUCUAAGUGGGACUUUUUCUCAAAUAUGGGCUAUGUAAAAUUUUUAGAGUAGCAACUCAGAAAGCAAAAUAAACUGGGACAAGUUUUCUCAUAAAAAAGACAUGAUUUUGUGUAAAGGGAUUCACAUUCUACACCCUUAAUGGAAUUCAACACAAACUAGAAGACCCUUGGUAUGAGAAACAAUACCAGAACUCUGGAGAGAAAGAUUCAGAUUGGGAUUUCAGAUUUGCUCCCAUGAUACACCCCCACAUCACUGAUAGAUGCAGUGAGCAUAGGGUUGUUUCUAGUUUCCCUUUACAAAGAGAGAGUAGACAAAGAGUACAUUGAACAGAGAUAUGCCCAAUGGUCUGGUAAUAAUUCAGGUAUUCUAGGAAUGCAUAAGUUAGUGCCUACUGUAUCUACACAGCCUUGUCUUUUUUUGAAUGAUUAUGAUAUUGUAUCUGGGAAUGUUACUUACUGUUGUUUGAAUAUGUACUCAGUUCAACAAGUAAUAAAUAAGUAUGAGAAACUG